Long non-coding RNA from Esox lucius (northern pike), 679 nucleotides. The record is from Ensembl. NCBI's taxonomy places the organism in Eukaryota, Metazoa, Chordata, Actinopteri, Esociformes, Esocidae.
ACCCUUGCUUCCUUGGCCACUAUUGAGUACAUCCCUCACCCAAAUAGGGCACGCCUGGCUCCCAUCACUAAUGUGAGUGAAAAGGGCAGGAAGCUUCUUGUGGAACUUGCCAGAGAUUCCCAACGGGUGAGUUCCAGGAAGGAGAGACGGGUUGUCAUGGAGGGUUGUAAUGAAGUUUUCCCUAGAUGCUGGUCUUGGAUCAUUUUUGCAUUGUCUCACCAAAUGGUUAAGCCCCAUGAGACAAACCAAACUGUCAAAGACAUCAAGAAGGCUAAAAAACACAGAAAACGAAAGAAGGGGAAAGCCAUUGAGAGACAGCAGGAGAAGGUUGUGGGGGCCAAGGAGAAAAAGCACAUCAAAAAGGACAAAAUCAGUCUGAGGAAGAGAUUCCUUCAAUGGCUGCUACCUAAGAUGUGCUGUAUGAGGAAGUAAUGGAGAACGGCUACACACGCACACAUACAUACAAACACACACACACACACACACACACACAUACACACAAACAUACACACACAGCACACUUGCUAUGCAUAUAUUACAUUUAUUCUUCCACUUAUAUUUGAUGGUAUAGUACAGGGGUUCCCUAACCUUUUGCUUCAGGCCCCACCUGUGCAUUUGAGUCACAGCUUGCGCCACCCUCCCGAAUCCCAUCAUACAUGCUCUUAUAUAUUGCCCUAAC